Molecule: long non-coding RNA, 1088 nt
Filed under: Triticum aestivum (bread wheat)
Lineage: Eukaryota; Viridiplantae; Streptophyta; Magnoliopsida; Poales; Poaceae
Description: long non-coding RNA (TAES_LNC006720)
Source: RNAcentral
GCCCAUGUAAUAAUCAACCAAAAUGGUAUUUCAGCCCAUUAAAUUUCAGUCGGUUGAUGGCCCACUGAUUUUGGCCGACAAAUUAGCCCAUCUCAUAUUUCUCUUGUUCUAUGCAAACUUUCAGCCAACACAAUUUUGCAAAUGAUGGAAAAUACAACAGAACUUAAAAUUACAGACAUUUCUGAAUAAUACACAUAUGGAGGAGCAAAACGAAGACAUUCAAUCUACAACGGGUCCUAGAAAUUCUCAGGCGGAGAGCACCAUUUUGGAGAUCCAUCCAUCACUGUCAUCAUCUGAGACACGCCACAUCGUCUGCCAUAUCGCCUCGACCAUGCUCUUGGGCAUCCCAUCUCCACCGACGAGAACAAGUUGAACCGUCGUUCUCUGCACAUGGACAACCAAAAACUGCCUCCAAAAAUCAGAAGUAAAACAGAGGCAACUGGAGCUGGGGUGGGGCAAGCGCCUCACAGCUCCAAGGUCGGCGAAAAAAUCGGUGGUGAGGACGCCAUAGCAGACGGACGCGGGCCCGUGACAAUGAAGGGUCGGCAGCGUCCAAACACGGCACAUCCCCACGGUGGCAGGUUGGCGCAGCCCCCUCGGCCAGGCACCUUGGGAGUGAUAGCUCAAUGCAGCUUAGCGUGCCAGCAUCGAACGAAGGGGGUUUGACUCCACCUGCACAUGAUGUGGGGGGGGGAUUAGGAAAAGAAAUCGGCUCGGUGGUUCAGUGAGUGCUGAACCAAGAUGCCUCUGUUGUGGCUCAAUGAUUAACCAUCUCACCAGUGCCAUAUCCUGCCGGCCACCGCGGGAAGUGGAGGUCGUCGCUUCGGAGGCAACACCCACCGCGACGCAGCUCUCAGGGACGGGUCGCUGCCCCCCGGCGUCCAAACGCGCAACUCCCGGACGGUGUGGGGGCGGCCUGGACGUCGUGCCGACGGUGCGUGUCCGGUGCCCUGAUGAGGCCUCUGAGCCGAGAGGAGCUCGGAGCCUGGGAGGGGAGGGGAGGGUAGGAGGCGACUGGAGAAGGAGACAAGGAAGGAAGGUGCUGGAACCCGGCGGCUAUGGGGGAGGGAGAAAGAAAAGGGAUAUGG